RNAcentral lists this ribosomal RNA (244 nucleotides) under uncultured Hyphomicrobiales bacterium. RNAcentral describes it as "uncultured Rhizobiales bacterium partial 16S ribosomal RNA". It matches the Rfam family "Bacterial small subunit ribosomal RNA", at positions 524 to 767 of the family's 1533-position model. Lineage: Bacteria; Pseudomonadati; Pseudomonadota; Alphaproteobacteria; Hyphomicrobiales. The record is from RNAcentral.
UACGAAGGGGGCUAGCGUUGCUCGGAAUCACUGGGCGUAAAGGGCGCGUAGGCGGCUUGCCAAGUCGGGGGUGAAAGCCCGUGGCUCAACCACGGAAUGGCCUUCGAUACUGGCAGGCUUGAGACCGGAAGAGGACAGCGGAACUGCGAGUGUAGAGGUGAAAUUCGUAGAUAUUCGCAAGAACACCAGUGGCGAAGGCGGCUGUCUGGUCCGGUUCUGACGCUGAGGCGCGAAAGCGUGGGGA